UACGUAGGGUGCAAGCGUUACUCGGAAUUAUUGGGCGUAAAGCGCAUGUAGGCGGUUUUGUAAGUCUGAUGUGAAAUCCCUGGACUCAAUUCAGGAACUGCAUUGGAUACUGCAAGACUAGAGUAGAGGAGAGGUAGGCGGAAUUCCUGGUGUAGAGGUGAAAUUCGUAGAUAUCAGGAGGAACAACAGAGGCGAAGGCGGCUUACUGGACUCUAACUGACGCUGAGAUGCGACAGUGUGGGGAGCAAACAGG
Molecule: ribosomal RNA, 253 nt
Filed under: uncultured bacterium
Lineage: Bacteria
Description: partial 16S ribosomal RNA
Rfam family: Bacterial small subunit ribosomal RNA
Source: RNAcentral